Molecule: long non-coding RNA, 981 nt
Organism: Acipenser ruthenus (sterlet)
Lineage: Eukaryota; Metazoa; Chordata; Actinopteri; Acipenseriformes; Acipenseridae
Exons: 4
Source: RefSeq, a predicted model, not a curated record
AAAUCAGAUCUCCGAUUGGAUGAAUAUUUAUCAGUUACUGUGAUCCUGGACCGUGGAAGCUGUCGUCUUUGUACACUUUUGGAUUAGGAUGUAUUGUCCAUUUUGUGGUAAUACUUUGGGGAACAGUAGGUCAUUCUGCGGUUGCUGUGGAAAAUCAGUGCAGUUCCUACCACAAAGCCCAGCAGAAGGCAAUGAUGAAGGUGAAACAUCACAGGACAUCUGGAAUAUGGAUACAGAAUCAGAGCUAAUAAAAAAAUAUUUCAGUGAAGGACACACAUAUGAAGUAAUUUUGGAUUUGUUGAAGACCCACCAUGAUGUUCAUAUGAGUUUGAGAAGUUUGACAUAUCGCUUAAAUCAACUGGGACUAAGAAAACGAGGCAACUACUUAAACUUGCAUUAAGUGCAAGCUGUAAUUCGCAGUGAGCUAAGGGGACCUGGCCAGAUGUUUGGAUACAGGACAAUGUGGCAGGUUUUAAAACAAAAAUACAACUUAACUGUAAAAAGAAAGGAUGUAAUGACUCUGCUGCCUGAGAUGAACCCAGUGGGAAGCUUAAGAAGGAGAAGCAGGAGAUUUGUAAGAAGAGUCUAUCAUACCAUGGGGCCCAACUAUAUAUGGCAUGUUGAUGGUUACGACAAGUUGAAACCAUACGGCAUUUCUGGUAGUGGAUGUAUUGAUCGAUUUUCAAGGAAAAUUAUGUGGUUGAAAUGUGGGCCAACAAACAAUAAUCCUGCAGUUAUUGCUUUGAAUUAUAUGAACUGUGUGUCCGAGCAUAAUGUUGUACCCAUGCGGCUAAGGACAGACUGCGGCACAGAAAACGGGACAAUGUCUGCCAUCCAUUGUACUUUACGAUCAACCCAGACUGAUGACUUCUCAGGUGCUGCAAGUCAUGUAUAUGGACCUUCUACAGCAAACCAGCGAAUAUAAUCCUGGUCGUCACAUUUAAGAAAACAAAGGUCAGUUUUGGAUGGAGUUGCUGGAAG